CAGAGUUGCAAAACUCCCAAACCAUCGCGAACUUACCGUACCGUUGCUUCGGCGAGGGGCUCCGGGGAGGAGCCGCGGCCCUAACGGGUGCUCGCCGCAAGCCCAAUAACUCUGAAUUCUUGGUAUCUCUGAGUAUAACAUACAAAUAAGUUA
RNAcentral lists this unclassified non-coding RNA (153 nucleotides) under uncultured Lasiosphaeria. RNAcentral describes it as "sequence contains ITS1". Lineage: Eukaryota; Fungi; Ascomycota; Sordariomycetes; Sordariales; Lasiosphaeriaceae. The record is from RNAcentral.